Molecule: small nucleolar RNA, 73 nt
Organism: Tripterygium wilfordii
Lineage: Eukaryota; Viridiplantae; Streptophyta; Magnoliopsida; Celastrales; Celastraceae
Product: small nucleolar RNA snoR60
Exons: 1
Source: RefSeq, a predicted model, not a curated record
AUGCAUAUGAUGAGUUUUACUCGGAUUCCCCUUCAGGACUUUAUGGAUGAUGCAAACUCGAGUCUCUGAUGCA